This 460-nucleotide ribosomal RNA is filed under the name uncultured bacterium. Its description in RNAcentral is "partial 16S ribosomal RNA". It matches the Rfam family "Bacterial small subunit ribosomal RNA", at positions 338 to 795 of the family's 1533-position model. The record is from RNAcentral.
CCUACGGGAGGCAGCAGUGAGGAAUAUUGGUCAAUGGCCGUAAGGCUGAACCAGCCAAGUAGCGUGAGGGAAGACUGCCCUAUGGGUUGUAAACCUCUUUUAUGCGGGGAUAAAGGUUUCCACGUGUGGAUGUUUGCAGGUACCGCAUGAAUAAGGACCGGCUAAUUCCGUGCCAGCAGCCGCGGUAAUACGGAAGGUCCGGGCGUUAUCCGGAUUUAUUGGGUUUAAAGGGAGCGUAGGCCGUUCUUUAAGCGUGCCGUGAAAUUCUGUGGCUCAACCAUGGGAGUGCGGCGCGAACUGGAGACCUUGAGUGCGCGGAAGGCAGGCGGAAUUCGUGGUGGAGCGGUGAAAUGCUUAGAUAUCACGAAGAACCCCGAUUGCGAAGGCAGCAUGCCGCAGCGUUACUGACGCUGAAGCUCGAAAGCGCGGGUAUCGAACAGGAUUAGAUACCCGAGUAGUC